CCGGCACGGGUGAGUAACACGUAUGCAAUCCACCUGUAACAGGGGAUAACCCGGAGAAAUCCGACUAAUACCCAUAAUAUGGGCGCUCCGCAUGGAGAGCCCAUUAAAGAGAGCAAUUUUGGUUACAGACGAGCAUGCGCUCCAUUAGCCAGUUGGCGGGGUAACGGCCCACCAAGACUACGAUGGAUAGGGGUUCUGAGAGGAAGGUCCCCCACAUUGGAACUGAGACACGGUCCAA
Molecule: ribosomal RNA, 238 nt
Filed under: uncultured bacterium
Lineage: Bacteria
Description: partial 16S ribosomal RNA
Rfam family: Bacterial small subunit ribosomal RNA
Source: RNAcentral